RNAcentral lists this ribosomal RNA (781 nucleotides) under uncultured Fibrobacterota bacterium. RNAcentral's name for it is "bacterial SSU rRNA". It matches the Rfam family "Bacterial small subunit ribosomal RNA", at positions 1 to 799 of the family's 1533-position model. Lineage: Bacteria; Pseudomonadati; Fibrobacterota. The record is from RNAcentral.
AGGAGAGUUUGAUCCUGGCUCAGAACGAACGCUGGUGGCGUGUCUUAUACAUGCAAGUCGAGCGGUGUAGCAAUACAUAGCGGCGAACGGGUGAGUAACGCGUAAGCAAUCUGCCCCCUGCUCGGGAAUAGCCGUGCCAACGCGCGGGUAAUACCGGAUAUAGUGGCCCUGGACAUCCGGGGUUGACAAAAGAUUUAUCGGCAGGGGAUGAGCUUGCGUCCGAUUAGCUAGUUGGCGGGGCAACGGCCCACCAAGGCGACGAUCGGUAGCCGGCCUGAGAGGGUGAUCGGCCACAUUGGGACUGAGAUACGGCCCAGACUCCUACGGGAGGCAGCAGUAGGGAAUAUUGCACAAUGGGGGAAACCCUGAUGCAGCAACGCCACGUGUGGGAAGAAGCAUUUCGGUGUGUAAACCACUGUCGUGAGGGAAUAAGGCUGAGUUUCGGCUCAGUUGAAUGUACCUCGAGAGGAAGCACCGGCAAACUUCGUGCCAGCAGCCGCGGUAAUACGAGGGGUGCAAGCGUUGUUCGGAAUCACUGGGCGUAAAGGGAGCGCAGGCGGAAGCUCAAGCGGAUUGUACAAUACCGGGGCCCAACCCCGGACCUGCAGUCCGAACUGGGUUUCUUGGAUAGUUCAGGGGCAAGCGGAAUUCCUGGUGUAGCGGUGGAAUGCGUAGAGAUCAGGAAGAACACCGAUGGCGAAGGCAGCUUGCUGGGGACUUAUCGACGCUCAUGCUCGAAAGUGCGGGUAGCAAACAGGAUUAGAUACCCUGGUAGUCCCCU